This 253-nucleotide ribosomal RNA is filed under the name uncultured bacterium. RNAcentral's name for it is "partial 16S ribosomal RNA". It matches the Rfam family "Bacterial small subunit ribosomal RNA", at positions 524 to 776 of the family's 1533-position model. The record is from RNAcentral.
UACGGAGGGUGCAAGCGUUAUCCGGAUUUAUUGGGUUUAAAGGGUCCGUAGGCGGGCUGAUAAGUCAGUGGUGAAAUCUCGUAGCUUAACUAUGAAACUGCCAUUGAUACUGUUAGUCUUGAGUGAAUUUGAGGUAGCUGGAAUAAGUAGUGUAGCGGUGAAAUGCAUAGAUAUUACGUAGAACACCAAUUGCGAAGGCAGGUUACCAAGAUUCAACUGACGCUGAGGGACGAAAGCGUGGGGAGCGAACAGG